RNAcentral lists this long non-coding RNA (789 nucleotides) under Homo sapiens (human). Its description in RNAcentral is "HSALNT0391831". The record is from RNAcentral. Lineage: Eukaryota; Metazoa; Chordata; Mammalia; Primates; Hominidae.
CUUGCCAUCCUCCAUGCAGAACGCGUCCCUGGGGCCUUCACCCUGUCGUGAACAAAGCACGACUAUUUUGUAAAGGGAAGAUCAAAGAGCCAGAAGUCGCGGAUGAGUGUGUGGCAGAGAUGGGGUUUCACCAUAUUGGCCAGGCUGGUCUUGAACUCAAGAUGAUUCGCCCAACACAGCCUCUCAAAGUGCUGGGAUUACAGUCUCCGGUAUGUCAUUAUCAGCAGUGUGAAAAUGGACUCACUCCCACCCUGUCUGGAUCUGGACAAGAGCCCACCACCCCGUUGGCAGUAGUCAGGCAGCUCUGCUUCUAAGAACCUGCAGCUUUUGGAAGAAAGGCACCCUGUGGUUUCAGAAGCCCAAGAGUCCCUGCAGCUCAGCACCCCCAGCCUGGUGCUUGGCAGAUGACUGCCUCCUCACUUAGCAGAGGGAGCAGAAAACUGUGUAUUCUUCAGAACAUCAUGAUAACCUGGCACUCAUGGGUCUAUGGAGAGAAUUCAGGGGGUCUGGGAGCUUGGAUGGAAUAAAUUUGCAUCUUUAUUUUCAGGAAAGUUUUACUGAAGUUUAGCAUUUUCUUUCAUUAUAAAUGGAAUCAGUAUAACCCAAUAGUAUGAGCAGUUACUUCUCCGCAACAUCAAAGUGGCUGCAGAUAUCUCAAAAUAGUAUUUACAUUUAUCAUAACUUAGAAAUUUGGGUGGUAAUUAAACCAGCAACUAUUCUUUGUUUAAUGCAUUAAGAAAGAAGUAUGUAUACUAUCAUAUCUCAAUUAAAAAUAUUUUAAGAACUGGA